CCUCCUUUCUCGCAUUCCUGGCGCGGCGGCUGCUCGGCGGAUUGCAAAGAGGCAGGUGGAGGAGCUCACCAAGUAGCCCGCCGGAGUCAAAGGCAUUCGAGGAUAGGGACAAGCCGGCGGCGCAGCCAAUGACUGGAGCGGCGGCGCGAGCUCUGUCUCCGGGGAGAAGCCGAUGGGCGACGUCAGCGAGCUCGUCUCCGUGCGUUAACCCCUCUGUGUGUUGCGGGGUGGGGAGGCAACUCCGUGAGCUCGUCUUCGUGCGGCUACCGGGGGUUUGCCCCUCAGCUCGCCGCAAACUCUAUUUCCGGGGAGAAGCGGCGUCGGCGACUCCGUGAGGGCGGCCGCCGGCGCAAGCCCAGGUCGAUUUUCGGCGGCUUCGCUCAAGGCCGACGAUUGGGCGCGUGUGGUGGCAGUU
This is a long non-coding RNA of Triticum dicoccoides, 415 nucleotides long. RefSeq lists it as uncharacterized. The transcript is spliced from 3 exons. The record is from RefSeq and is a predicted model, not a curated record. Lineage: Eukaryota; Viridiplantae; Streptophyta; Magnoliopsida; Poales; Poaceae.